UGCAAGUCGAGCGGAGAUGUUGGAGCUUGCUCCAACAUCUUAGCGGCGGACGGGUGAGUAACACGUGGGCAACCUGCCCUGCAGAUCGGGAUAACUCCGGGAAACCGGUGCUAAUACCGAAUAGUUUGCGGCCUCUCAUGAGGCCACACGGAAAGACGGUUUCGGCUGUCACUGCAGGAUGGGCCCGCGGCGCAUUAGCUAGUUGGUGAGGUAACGGCUCACCAAGGCCACGAUGCGUAGCCGACCUGAGAGGGUGAUCGGCCACACUGGGACUGAGACACGGCCCAGACUCCUACGGGAGGCAGCAGUAGGGAAUCUUCCGCAAUGGACGAAAGUCUGACGGAGCAACGCCGCGUGAGUGAAGAAGGUUUUCGGAUCGUAAAACUCUGUUGUGAGGGAAGAACAAGUACCAAGUAACUACUGGUACCUUGACGGUACCUCACCAGAAAGCCACGGCUAACUACGUGCCAGCAGCCGCGGUAAUACGUAGGUGGCAAGCGUUGUCCGGAAUUAUUGGGCGUAAAGCGCGCGCAGGCGGUCCUUUAAGUCUGAUGUGAAAGCCCACGGCUCAACCGUGGAGGGUCAUUGGAAACUGGGGGACUUGAGUGCAGAAGAGGAAAGUGGAAUUCCACGUGUAGCGGUGAAAUGCGUAGAGAUGUGGAGGAAC
Molecule: ribosomal RNA, 667 nt
Filed under: bacterium SCSIO13074
Lineage: Bacteria
Description: bacterial SSU rRNA
Rfam family: Bacterial small subunit ribosomal RNA
Source: RNAcentral